UCCGUAGGGGGCAAGCGUUGUCCGGAAUCAUUGGGCGUAAAGAGCGUGUAGGCGGCCCGGUAAGUCCGCUGUAAAAGUCAAAGGCUCAACCUUUGAAUGUCAGUGGAUACUGCCGGGCUAGAGUCCGGAAGAGGCGAGUGGAACUCCUGGUGUAGCGGUGAAAUGCGCAGAUAUCAGGAGGAACACCAAUGGCGAAGGCAGCUCGCUGGGACGUGACUGACGCUGAGACGCGAAAGCGUGGGGAGCAAACAGG
Molecule: ribosomal RNA, 253 nt
Filed under: uncultured bacterium
Lineage: Bacteria
Description: partial 16S ribosomal RNA
Rfam family: Bacterial small subunit ribosomal RNA
Source: RNAcentral